GUCUAUGGCUAUACCUCUCUGAAUAUACCCAGUUUUAUCUGGUCUUGGGAGCAAAGCAAAAUCUUGGGCCUGUCAUCAUGUCAUUGAAAGGCCACUUGGAACUACCAGGUGCUAUAGGCA
This 120-nucleotide ribosomal RNA is filed under the name Nannospalax galili (Upper Galilee mountains blind mole rat). Lineage: Eukaryota; Metazoa; Chordata; Mammalia; Rodentia; Spalacidae. The record is from RNAcentral.